CCUACGGGCGGCAGCAGUGAGGAAUAUUGGUCAAUGGACGAGAGUCUGAACCAGCCAAGUAGCGUGAAGGAUGACUGCCCUAUGGGUUGUAAACUUCUUUUAUAAAGGAAUAAAACGAGGCACGUGUGCCUGUUUGCAUGUACUUUAUGAAUAAGGAUCGGCUAACUCCGUGCCAGCAGCCGCGGUAAUACGGAGGAUCCGAGCGUUAUCCGGAUUUAUUGGGUUUAAAGGGAGCGUAGAUGGGUUGUUAAGUCAGUUGUGAAAGGUUGCGGCUCAACCGUGAAAUUGCAAUUGAUACUGGUAGUCUUGAGUACAGUUGAGGUAGGCGGAAUUCGUGGUGUAGCGGUGAAAUGCUUAGAGAUCACGAAGAACACCGAUUGCGAAGGCAGCUUACUAAACUGUGACUGACAUUGAGGCUCGAAAGUGUGGGUAGCAAACAGGAUUAGAUACCCGUGUAGUC
Molecule: ribosomal RNA, 460 nt
Filed under: uncultured bacterium
Lineage: Bacteria
Description: partial 16S ribosomal RNA
Rfam family: Bacterial small subunit ribosomal RNA
Source: RNAcentral